Molecule: ribosomal RNA, 734 nt
Filed under: uncultured Cellulosimicrobium sp.
Lineage: Bacteria; Bacillati; Actinomycetota; Actinomycetes; Micrococcales; Promicromonosporaceae
Description: bacterial SSU rRNA
Rfam family: Bacterial small subunit ribosomal RNA
Source: RNAcentral
GACGAACGCUGGCGGCGUGCUUAACACAUGCAAGUCGAACGAUGAUGCCCAGCUUGCUGGGCGGAUUAGUGGCGAACGGGUGAGUAACACGUGAGUAACCUGCCCUUGACUUCGGGAUAACUCCGGGAAACCGGGGCUAAUACCGGAUAUGAGCCGUCCUCGCAUGGGGGUGGUUGGAAAGUUUUUCGGUCAGGGAUGGGCUCGCGGCCUAUCAGCUUGUUGGUGGGGUGAUGGCCUACCAAGGCGACGACGGGUAGCCGGCCUGAGAGGGCGACCGGCCACACUGGGACUGAGACACGGCCCAGACUCCUACGGGAGGCAGCGGUGGGGAAUAUUGCACAAUGGGCGAAAGCCUGAUGCAGCGACGCCGCGUGAGGGAUGAAGGCCUUCGGGUUGUAAACCUCUUUCAGCAGGGAAGAAGCGCAAGUGACGGUACCUGCAGAAGAAGCGCCGGCUAACUACGUGCCAGCAGCCGCGGUAAUACGUAGGGCGCAAGCGUUGUCCGGAAUUAUUGGGCGUAAAGAGCUCGUAGGCGGUUUGUCGCGUCUGGUGUGAAAACUCGAGGCUCAACCUCGAGCUUGCAUCGGGUACGGGCAGACUAGAGUGCGGUAGGGGAGACUGGAAUUCCUGGUGUAGCGGUGGAAUGCGCAGAUAUCAGGAGGAACACCGAUGGCGAAGGCAGGUCUCUGGGCCGCAACUGACGCUGAGGAGCGAAAGCAUGGGGAGCGAACAGG